UUCGCAAUGCCCGAAAGGGUGACGAAGCGACGCCGCGUGCGGGAAGAAGGCCUUCGGGUUGUAAACCGCUGUCGGGAGUUAGGAAGUGCAAGGAUGUUAAUAGCGUUCUUGCUUGACUAAGGCUCCGGAGGAAGCCACGGCUAACUCUGUGCCAGCAGCCGCGGUAAUACAGAGGCGGCAAGCGUUGUUCGGAAUUAUUGGGCGUAAAGAGCACGUAGGCGGCUAUGUAAGUCGGUUGUGAAAGCCUUCCGCUCAACGGAAGAACAGCAUCCGGUACUACAUGGCUUGAGUGCGGGAGGGGAGAGUGGAACUUCUGGUGGAGCGGUGAAAUGCGUAGAUAUCAGAAGGAACGCCGGCGGCGAAAGCGGCUCUCUGGCCCAUAACUGACGCUGAGUGUGCGAAAGCUAGGGGAGCAAACGGGAUUAGAUACCCCGGUAGUCCUAGCCGUAAACGAUGGGCACUAAGUAGAGGGGUUUU
This 477-nucleotide ribosomal RNA is filed under the name uncultured bacterium. RNAcentral's name for it is "bacterial SSU rRNA". It matches the Rfam family "Bacterial small subunit ribosomal RNA", at positions 365 to 832 of the family's 1533-position model. The record is from RNAcentral.